This 216-nucleotide ribosomal RNA is filed under the name Macroglenes sp. D1533. Its description in RNAcentral is "partial 28S ribosomal RNA". It matches the Rfam family "Eukaryotic large subunit ribosomal RNA", at positions 967 to 1163 of the family's 3401-position model. The record is from RNAcentral. Lineage: Eukaryota; Metazoa; Arthropoda; Insecta; Hymenoptera; Pirenidae.
UUUCCCUCAGGAUAGCUGGCACUCGCUUCGAGCGAGUCUCAUCUGGUAAAGCGAAUGAUUAGAGGCCUUGGGGCCGAAACGACCUCAACCUAUUCUCAAACUUUAAAUGGGUGAGAUCUCUGGCUUGCUUGAACGUUGAAGCCACGAGAUUUACUUUGUAUUUGGAUCAGAGUGCCAAGUGGGCCAAUUUUGGUAAGCAGAACUGGCGCUGUGGGA